This 1235-nucleotide ribosomal RNA is filed under the name Phomopsis sp. MA96. Its description in RNAcentral is "eukaryotic LSU rRNA". It matches the Rfam family "Eukaryotic large subunit ribosomal RNA", at positions 118 to 1385 of the family's 3401-position model. Lineage: Eukaryota; Fungi; Ascomycota; Sordariomycetes; Diaporthales; Diaporthaceae. The record is from RNAcentral.
AAAUCUGGCCUCGGCCCGAGUUGUAAUUUGCAGAGGAUGCUUCUGGCGCGGUGCCUUCCGAGUUCCCUGGAACGGGACGCCACAGAGGGUGAGAGCCCCGUAUGGUCGGACACCAAGCCUGUGUGAAGCUCCUUCGACGAGUCGAGUAGUUUGGGAAUGCUGCUCUAAAUGGGAGGUAAAUCUCUUCUAAAGCUAAAUACCGGCCAGAGACCGAUAGCGCACAAGUAGAGUGAUCGAAAGAUGAAAAGCACCUUGAAAAGGGGGUUAAAUAGUACGUGAAAUUGUUGAAAGGGAAGCACUUGUGACCAGACUUGGGCCGGGCGGCUCAUCAGGGGUUCUCCCCUGUGCACUCCGCCCGGCACAGGCCAGCAUCGGUUCUCGUGGGGGGAUAAGACCGUCAGGAACGUAGCACCCUCCGGGGUGUGUUAUAGCCUGGCGGACGAUACCCCCGUGGGGACCGAGGUUCGCGCUCCGCAGGGAUGCUGGCGUAAUGGUCACCAGUGACCCGUCUUGAAACACGGACCAAGGAGUCGUCCAUUAGAGCGAGCGUUUGGGUGUAAAACCCGCACGCGUAAUGAAAGUGAACGCAGGUGAGAGCUUCGGCGCAUCAUCGACCGAUCCUGAUGUUCUCGGAAGGAUUUGAGUAAGAGUUUUAACGGACGGACCCGAAAGACAGUGAACUAUGCUUGUAUAGGGUGAAGCCAGAGGAAACUCUGGUGGAGGCUCGCAGCGGUUCUGACGUGCAAAUCGAUCGUCAAAUAUGAGCAUGGGGGCGAAAGACUAAUCGAACUGUCUAGUAGCUGGUUACCGCCGAAGUUUCCCUCAGGAUAGCAGUGUUGAUCUUCAGUUUUAUGAGGUAAAGCGAAUGAUUAGGGACUCGGGGGCGCUAUAUAGCCUUCAUCCAUUCUCAAACUUUAAAUAUGUAAGAAGCCCUUGUUACUUAGUUGAACGUGGGCAUUCGAAUGUACCAACACUAGUGGGCCAUUUUUGGUAAGCAGAACUGGCGAUGCGGGAUGAACCGAACGCGGGGUUAAGGCGCCAGAGUGUACGCUCAUCAGACACCACAAAAGGCGUUAGUACAUCUUGACAGCAGGACGGUGGCCAUGGAAGUCGGAAUCCGCUAAGGACUGUGUAACAACUCACCUGCCGAAUGUACUAGCCCUGAAAAUGGAUGGCGCUCAAGCGUACCGCCCAUACCCCGCCCCCAGGGUAGAAACGAUGCCCUGGGGAGUAGG